ACUGGGUAAGAUGACAUUUUAAGUCUGGACUUGAUUAAAGUGUAUAUGACUGUGUGACAGGAAUAUUGAAUUCUGCAAUUGUACGUAAUUGUAUCUGGAUUUUCUGUGCAAGUCAGCAAAGCUCCACUUAUAAGACGACCCAGUCCCUCAAACAAAUCCUUGUGACAAGCGUCUUUAUCGUAUUUUAGUUCAGUAGUGUGCUUUUGGUACCUGUCUUAUUUAUUCUAUAUAAAUGAUGACACAGUGCUUCAAGAACUUUCUGGAGAUUGCUUUCACCAACACCUGCUAAACUCGAAGGAGCAUUCAGAAACCCAUAUGGCAUUACCAAGUAAUCAUAGUGGCCCAUGUUUGUGAUUUGUUUCCAUAUCCAUCAGCCAGCUCUCCCCCUCAUACAACAGCUACCCAUAGCUGAGUUUCAGAAUCUCUGUAGAACCCCAAUAUGGGGAGGAAGACUCCGGAGACCAAUGCCCCUGAGGUCACAGACUAGGCAUCUAAAGCUAUCAAAGAUCAAUAAAGAUGAUAGUUGUAAAAGAGCAAAGAAGCUGGGAAUAUUCUCAGAGUUAUGAGGACUGGAGGCGUGGUCUUUGCAGCAAGCCAAAGUCACGAAGCUUCUCAAGCACAUCAUCAUGCAGGUUGGUAGUUGCAUGAUUACUGCACUGUAAGAGCACCUGGCGGUUGUAUACAUCAAUAAAGCCACUGUCUCUGGUGUCCAUGUACUUUGAAAAGUCAGGGUAAACUCAGGAAUAGCACUAUUUUGGAUUCAGAGUGGCCGCUGCGUGCACACCGCUAUCUUGGAUUAAAGGACAACUGCUGAUAUUACUGAAGUGUGUAUGUAUACAGGUCAGCGCUAGUUUGUGUAUUUUGUGUAUCUGUGCUUUUGUCUCGACUGUUUGCACUAGGUUGCACAUGAUGCACUUUAUAUG
Long non-coding RNA from Hemibagrus wyckioides, 923 nucleotides. RefSeq lists it as uncharacterized. Lineage: Eukaryota; Metazoa; Chordata; Actinopteri; Siluriformes; Bagridae. The transcript is spliced from 3 exons. The record is from RefSeq and is a predicted model, not a curated record.